ACCGUCAAAAAACACACAGCUACUUAUGUCAGUGACUCUUCUUCUAUCACCACUAGACGACACCAGAAACACACAAAACACACUCUCUCAUAACUCGCGUCACAUUCAUCCUUCUACUCUAAUUGGCACGUAUCGUCCACGCUCCCUUACCGGCAACGCGCUUAUCGUCUGGCACACUCACCCGCACCGUACCCGUCGUCGGUCUUUUCGCCAAUUUAAUCGUAUUUUUCCGUG
Molecule: long non-coding RNA, 234 nt
Filed under: Capsella grandiflora
Lineage: Eukaryota; Viridiplantae; Streptophyta; Magnoliopsida; Brassicales; Brassicaceae
Description: long non-coding RNA (CGRA_LNC000333)
Source: RNAcentral